This 493-nucleotide ribosomal RNA is filed under the name uncultured bacterium. RNAcentral describes it as "partial 16S ribosomal RNA". It matches the Rfam family "Bacterial small subunit ribosomal RNA", at positions 29 to 523 of the family's 1533-position model. The record is from RNAcentral.
AUUGAACGCUGGCGGCAUGCUUUACACAUGCAAGUCGAACGGUAACAGGUUAAGCUGACGAGUGGCGAACGGGUGAGUAAUGCAUCGGAACGUGCCCGGUCGGGGGGGAUAACGCAGCGAAAGCUGCGCUAAUACCGCAUACGAUCUGAGGAUGAAAGCGGGGGACCGUAAGGCCUCGCGCGAUCGGAGCGGCCGAUGUCAGAUUAGGUAGUUGGCGGGGUAAAGGCUCACCAAGCCAACGAUCUGUAGCUGGUCUGAGAGGACGAGCAGCCACACUGGGACUGAGAAACGGCCCAGACUCCUACGGGAGGCAGCAGUGGGGAAUUUUGGACAAUGGGCGAAAGCCUGAUCCAGCAAUGCCGCGUGCAGGAAGAGGGCCUUCGGGUCGUAAGCUGCUUUUGUACGGAGCGAAAAGGUCUCCUCUAAUACAGGGGGCUCAUGACGGUACCGUAAGAAUAAGCACCGGCUAACUACGUGCCAGCCGCCGCCGUAA